GAUGAAGAACGUAGCGGAAUGCGAUAAGUAAUGUGAAUUGCAGAAUUCAGUGAAUCAUCGAAUCUUUGAACGCACCUUGCGCUCCUUGGUAUUCCAAGGAGCAUGCCUGUUUGAGUAUCAUUAAAUUAUCAACUGUGCCAAUUUGGUUACAGAUUGGAUGUGGGAGAUUCUUUUUGCAGGCCUUUGACUUCUCUUUGAGAAAAAAAAUAAAAGGUCGGCUCUCCUGAAAUGUAUUAGCAGUGCCUUUGUUGGUUCAUUAGGUGUGAUAAAUUGUCUACAUCUUCGCAUGAUACCUUCAUUUGUAAAGGUCAUAUUGCUUCUAAAUUGUCUUUGAUUGGACGCAAAACAUAUAUAAUGUUUGACAAACUUGAUCUCAAAUCAGGCAGGACUACCCGCUGAACUUAAGCAUAUCAAUAAGCGGAGGA
RNAcentral lists this unclassified non-coding RNA (425 nucleotides) under soil metagenome. RNAcentral's name for it is "partial contains 5.8S ribosomal RNA, internal transcribed spacer 2, and large subunit ribosomal RNA". The stretch from base 1 to 120 matches the Rfam family "5.8S ribosomal RNA", at positions 35 to 154 of the family's 154-position model. The record is from RNAcentral.